RNAcentral lists this unclassified non-coding RNA (211 nucleotides) under soil metagenome. RNAcentral's name for it is "partial contains 5.8S ribosomal RNA, internal transcribed spacer 2, and large subunit ribosomal RNA". The record is from RNAcentral.
AACAAGGCGUACCUGCGGACCUGCGGAAGGAUCAUUACAAGUGACCCCGGUUUGCCACCGGGAUGUUCAUAACCCUUUGUUGUCCGACUCUGUUGCCUCCGGGGCGACCCUGCCUUCGGGCGGGGGCUCCGGGUGGACACUUCAAACUCUUGCGUAACUUUGCAGUCUGAGUAAACUUAAUUAAUAAAUUAAAACUUUCAACAACGGAUCU